This 253-nucleotide ribosomal RNA is filed under the name uncultured bacterium. RNAcentral's name for it is "partial 16S ribosomal RNA". It matches the Rfam family "Bacterial small subunit ribosomal RNA", at positions 524 to 776 of the family's 1533-position model. The record is from RNAcentral.
UACGGAGGGUGCGAGCGUUAAUCGGAAUUACUGGGCGCAAAGCGCGCGUAGGCGGCUUUUCAAGUCAGGGGUGAAAUCCCACGGCCCAACCGUGGAACUGCCUUUGAAACUGUAGAGCUUGAGUGUCGGAGAGGGUGGCGGAAUUCCAGGUGUAGGAGUGAAAUCCGUAGAUAUCUGGAGGAACACCGGUGGCGAAGGCGGCCACCUGGACGACAACUGACGCUGAGGUGCGAAAGCGUGGGUAGCAAACAGG